CCUACGGGAGGCAGCAGGGAGGAAGAUUGGGCAAUGGACGAGAGUCUGAACCAGCCAAGUAGCGUGAAGGAGGACAGCCCGAUGGGUUGUAAACUUCGUUUAUAGGGGAAUAAAAUGUGCCACGUGUGGGAUUUUGUAUGUACCAUAUGAAUAAGGAUCGGCUAACUCCGUGCCAGCAGCCGCGGUAAUACGGAGGAUCCGAUCGUUAUCCGGAUUGAUUGGGUUUAAAGGGAGCGUAGGUGGGUUGUUAAGUCAGUUGUGAAAGUUUGCGGCUCAACCGUAAAAUUGCAGUUGAAACUGGCAGUCUUGAGUACAGUAGAGGUAGGCGGAAUUCGUGGUGUAGCGGUGAAAUGCUUAGAUAUCACGAAGAACUCCGAUUGCGAAGGCAGCUCACUGGACUGCAACUGACACUGAGGCUCGAAAGUGUGGGUAUCAAACAGGAUUAGAUACCCCAGUAGUC
Molecule: ribosomal RNA, 460 nt
Filed under: uncultured bacterium
Lineage: Bacteria
Description: partial 16S ribosomal RNA
Rfam family: Bacterial small subunit ribosomal RNA
Source: RNAcentral